RNAcentral lists this unclassified non-coding RNA (253 nucleotides) under uncultured Cytophagaceae bacterium. Its description in RNAcentral is "contains 16S-23S intergenic spacer region". It matches the Rfam family "Bacterial small subunit ribosomal RNA", at positions 524 to 776 of the family's 1533-position model. The record is from RNAcentral. Lineage: Bacteria; Pseudomonadati; Bacteroidota; Cytophagia; Cytophagales; Cytophagaceae.
UACGGAGGGUGCAAGCGUUGUCCGGAUUUAUUGGGUUUAAAGGGUGCGUAGGCGGCCCUGUAAGUCAAUGCUGAAAGCCUGCCGCUUAACGGCAGGAUUGGUGAUGAUACUGCAGGGCUUGAGUACAGACGAGGUAGGCGGAAUUGAUAAUGUAGCGGUGAAAUGCAUAGAUAUUAUCAGGAACUCCGAUUGCGAAGGCAGCUUACUAGGCUGUAACUGACGCUGAGGCACGAAAGUGUGGGGAGCAAACAGG